UACGUAGGGUGCGAGCGUUAAUCGGAAUUACUGGGCGUAAAGCGUGCGCAGGCGGUUAUGUAAGACAGUUGUGAAAUCCCCCGGGCUCAACCUGGGAACUGCAUCUGUGACUGCAUAGCUAGAGUACGGUCGAGGGGGAUGGAAUUCCGCGUGUAGCAGUGAAAUGCGUAGAUAUGCGGAGGAACACCGAUGGCGAAGGCAAUCCCCUGGACCUGUACUGACGCUCAUGCACGAAAGCGUGGGGAGCAAACAGG
RNAcentral lists this ribosomal RNA (254 nucleotides) under uncultured bacterium. Its description in RNAcentral is "partial 16S ribosomal RNA". It matches the Rfam family "Bacterial small subunit ribosomal RNA", at positions 524 to 776 of the family's 1533-position model. The record is from RNAcentral.